UACAGAGGAUGCAAGCGUUAUCCGGAAUUAUUGGGCGUAAAGAGCUCGUAGGCGGUUUGUCGCGUCUGCCGUGAAAGUCCGGGGCUCAACUCCGGAUCUGCGGUGGGUACGGGCAGACUAGAGUGAUGUAGGGGAGACUGGAAUUCCUGGUGUAGCGGUGAAAUGCGCAGAUAUCAGGAGGAACACCGAUGGCGAAGGCAGGUCUCUGGGCAUUAACUGACGCUGAGGAGCGAAAGCGUGGGGAGCGAACAGG
Molecule: ribosomal RNA, 253 nt
Filed under: uncultured bacterium
Lineage: Bacteria
Description: partial 16S ribosomal RNA
Rfam family: Bacterial small subunit ribosomal RNA
Source: RNAcentral